AUUGAACGCUGGCGGCAGGCCUAACACAUGCAAGUCGGACGGUAGCACAGAGGAGCUUGCUCCCCGGGUGACGAGUGGCGGACGGGUGAGUAAUGUCUGGGGAUCUGCCCGAUAGAGGGGGAUAACCACUGGAAACGGUGGCUAAUACCGCAUAACGUCGCAAGACCAAAGAGGGGGACCUUCGGGCCUCUCACUAUCGGAUGAACCCAGAUGGGAUUAGCUAGUAGGCGGGGUAACGGCCCACCUAGGCGACGAUCCCUAGCUGGUCUGAGAGGAUGACCAGCCACCCUGGAACUGGGACACGGUCCAGACUCGUACGGGAGGCAGCGGUGGGGAAUAUUGCACAAUGGGCGCAAGCCUGAUGCAGCCAUGCCGCGUGUAUGAAGAAGGCCGUCGGGUUGUAAAGUACUGUCAGCGGGGAGGAAGGCGAUGUGGUUAAUAACCGCAUUGAUUGACGUUACCCGCAGAAGAAGCACCGGCUAACUCCGUGCCAGCCGCCGCCGUAA
This 506-nucleotide ribosomal RNA is filed under the name uncultured bacterium. RNAcentral describes it as "partial 16S ribosomal RNA". It matches the Rfam family "Bacterial small subunit ribosomal RNA", at positions 29 to 523 of the family's 1533-position model. The record is from RNAcentral.